UACGAAGGGAGCUAGCGUUGUUCGGAAUUACUGGGCGUAAAGCGCGCGCAGGCGGCUAUUCAAGUCAGAGGUGAAAUCCCAGGGCUUAACCUUGGAACUGCCUUUGAAACUGUUUAGCUAGAGUCCGUGAGAGGGUGGUGGAAUUCCUAGUGUAGAGGUGAAAUUCGUAGAUAUUAGGAGGAACACCAGUGGCGAAGGCGGCCACCUGGCACGGUACUGACGCUGAGGCGCGAAAGCGUGGGGAGCAAACAGG
RNAcentral lists this ribosomal RNA (253 nucleotides) under uncultured bacterium. Its description in RNAcentral is "partial 16S ribosomal RNA". It matches the Rfam family "Bacterial small subunit ribosomal RNA", at positions 524 to 776 of the family's 1533-position model. The record is from RNAcentral.